UUGAUCCUGGCUCAGGACGAACGCUGGCGGCGUGCCUAAUACAUGCAAGUCGAACGCUUCUUUUUCCACCGGAGCUUGCUCCACCGGAAAAAGAGGAGUGGCGAACGGGUGAGUAACACGUGGGUAACCUGCCCAUCAGAAGGGGAUAACACUUGGAAACAGGUGCUAAUACCGUAUAACAAUCAAAACCGCAUGGUUUUGAUUUGAAAGGCGCUUUCGGGUGUCGCUGAUGGAUGGACCCGCGGUGCAUUAGCUAGUUGGUGAGGUAACGGCUCACCAAGGCCACGAUGCAUAGCCGACCUGAGAGGGUGAUCGGCCACAUUGGGACUGAGACACGGCCCAAACUCCUACGGGAGGCAGCAGUAGGGAAUCUUCGGCAAUGGACGAAAGUCUGACCGAGCAACGCCGCGUGAGUGAAGAAGGUUUUCGGAUCGUAAAACUCUGUUGUUAGAGAAGAACAAGGAUGAGAGUAACUGUUCAUCCCUUGACGGUAUCUAACCAGAAAGCCACGGCUAACUACGUGCCAGCAGCCGCGG
Molecule: ribosomal RNA, 536 nt
Filed under: Enterococcus faecium
Lineage: Bacteria; Bacillati; Bacillota; Bacilli; Lactobacillales; Enterococcaceae
Description: bacterial SSU rRNA
Rfam family: Bacterial small subunit ribosomal RNA
Source: RNAcentral